This 425-nucleotide ribosomal RNA is filed under the name uncultured bacterium. RNAcentral describes it as "bacterial SSU rRNA". It matches the Rfam family "Bacterial small subunit ribosomal RNA", at positions 359 to 776 of the family's 1533-position model. The record is from RNAcentral.
GAAUAUUGGACAAUGGGGGAAACCCUGAUCCAGCGAUGCCGCGUGUGUGAAGAAGGCCUGCGGGUUGUAAAGCACUUUCGGUAGCGAGGAAGAUUGAUGGGUGAAUAGCCUGUCAAUUUGCCGUUAGCUACAGAAGAAGCACCGGCUAACUCUGUGCCAGCCGCCGCGGUAAGACAGAGGGUGCAAGCGUUAAUCGGAAUUACUGGGCGUAAAGAGCACGUAGGCGGAUAGGUCCGUCGGAUGUGAAAGCCAUGGGCUUAACCUGUGGUUGCCGUCCGAAACUUCCUGUCUAGAGGCUAGUAGAGGGUAGUGGAAUUUCCGGUGUAGCGGUGAAAUGCGUAGAUAUCGGAAGGAACACCAGUGGCGAAGGCGGCUACCUGGACUAGAUCUGACGCUGAGGUGCGAAAGCGUGGGGAGCAAACAGG